UGAAGUCUGAAAAUAGGCUGAUUUCAUAUGUGUAUGAGAAUGUGGUGGCCGUUCAUCCUUGCAUCAACGCUCCUAAAAUGACCAUCCCUCUGUAUGAGAAUGUAACAAUUUAUGAGAAUCUUACCGCUAACAGGAAUAUGCCGUAGUGGACGAUGGCACACACCAAAACAUUACAGUCUUCAUGUGACU
Rhinichthys klamathensis goyatoka is the source of this 189-nucleotide long non-coding RNA. RefSeq lists it as uncharacterized. The record is from RefSeq and is a predicted model, not a curated record. Lineage: Eukaryota; Metazoa; Chordata; Actinopteri; Cypriniformes; Leuciscidae. The transcript is spliced from 3 exons.